This 466-nucleotide ribosomal RNA is filed under the name uncultured bacterium. RNAcentral's name for it is "partial 16S ribosomal RNA". It matches the Rfam family "Bacterial small subunit ribosomal RNA", at positions 28 to 505 of the family's 1533-position model. The record is from RNAcentral.
GACGAACGCUGGCGGCGCGCCUAACACAUGCAAGUCGAACGGAGCUGAGAGAAGCUUGCUUUUCUUAGCUUAGUGGCGAACGGGUGAGUAACGCGUGAGUAACCUGCCCUGGAGUGGGGGACAACAGUUGGAAACGACUGCUAAUACCGCAUAAGCCCACGAUCCGGCAUCGGAUUGAGGGAAAAGGAUUUAUUCGCUUCAGGAUGGACUCGCGUCCAAUUAGCUAGUUGGUGAGGUAACGGCCCACCAAGGCGACGAUUGGUAGCCGGACUGAGAGGUUGAACGGCCACAUUGGGACUGAGACAAGGCCCAGACUCCUACGGGAGGCAGCAGUGGGGGAUAUUGCACAAUGGGGGAAACCCUGAUGCAGCGACGCCGCGUGGAGGAAGAAGGUUUUCGGAUUGUAAACUCCUGUCGUUAGGGACGAUAAUGACGGUACCUAACAAGAAAGCACCGGCUAACGACG